CCGUACGGCUGGCCGGAGGUGGGCUGCUGGCCGUACGGGGCGGCCGGCGGCUGGGGAGCGGUCGGGUCCUGGUUGGGCUGCUGGCCGUACGGG
This 93-nucleotide transfer RNA is filed under the name Micromonospora sp. NBRC 107095. RNAcentral's name for it is "tRNA-Pro". Lineage: Bacteria; Bacillati; Actinomycetota; Actinomycetes; Micromonosporales; Micromonosporaceae. The record is from RNAcentral.